GAUCCUGGCUCAGGAUGAACGCUAGCGGCAGGCUUAACACAUGCAAGUCGAGGGGCAACGCGAGUAGCAAUACUUGGCGGCGACCGGCGCAAGGGUGCGUAACGCGUGAGCAACAUGCCCGUAUCAGGGGGAUAAUCCAGGGAAACUUGGUCUAAUACCCCAUAGUAAUUUUGUAAGGCAUCUUAUAAGAUUUAAAGCUUUGGUGGAUACGGAUUGGCUCGCGUGACAUUAGCUGGAUGGUAAGGUAACGGCUUACCAUGGCUAUGAUGUCUAGGGGUUCUGAGAGGAAGGUCCCCCACACUGGAACUGAGACACGGUCCAGACUCCUACGGGAGGCAGCAGUGAGGAAUAUUGGACAAUGGAUGGAAAUCUGAUCCAGCCAUGCCGCGUGAAGGAAGAAGGUCCUAUGGAUUGUAAACUUCUUUUGUAUGGGAGCAAUAAGGCCUACGUGUAGGUUGAUGAGAGUACCAUACGAAUAAGCACCGGCUAACUCCGUGCCAGCCGCAGC
This 508-nucleotide ribosomal RNA is filed under the name uncultured bacterium. Its description in RNAcentral is "bacterial SSU rRNA". It matches the Rfam family "Bacterial small subunit ribosomal RNA", at positions 15 to 518 of the family's 1533-position model. The record is from RNAcentral.